This 382-nucleotide long non-coding RNA is filed under the name Physcomitrium patens. RNAcentral's name for it is "long non-coding RNA (PPAT_LNC013444)". The record is from RNAcentral. Lineage: Eukaryota; Viridiplantae; Streptophyta; Bryopsida; Funariales; Funariaceae.
AAUAUAUUUUAAAUAAAUCUCAAUCAAGUCCUAAUUCAAUCUUAAUUAAAAUUCUAAUAAAUUUUAAUUAAAUUCUAAAUUAAAUCCUAAAUCCUAAUUAAAUCCUAAAUCCUAAUCAAAUCCUAAAUCCUAAAUCAAAUCCUAAAUAAAUCCUAUACUAUAAAUAAAAUUCUAAAAAAAUCCUAAAUCCUAAAUUAAAUCUUAGAUAAAUCCUAAAUCCUAAAUCAAAUCCUAAAAAAAUCCUAAAUCCUAAACCAAAUCCUAGAAAAAUCUUAAAUCUUAAAUCAAAUCCUAAAUAAAUCUUAAAUCUUCAAUCUUAAAUCAAAACCUAGACAAAUCUUAAAUCCUAGUCUAAUCUUAAAUUCUAACUAAACUUUAACCA